UUAAAUUGAAGAGUUUGAUCAUGGCUCAGAUUGAACGCUGGCGGCAGGCCUAACACAUGCAAGUCGAACGGUAACAGGAAACAGCUUGCUGUUUCGCUG
Molecule: ribosomal RNA, 99 nt
Filed under: Escherichia coli
Lineage: Bacteria; Pseudomonadati; Pseudomonadota; Gammaproteobacteria; Enterobacterales; Enterobacteriaceae
Also listed under: 2 other names
Description: partial 16S ribosomal RNA
Rfam family: Bacterial small subunit ribosomal RNA
Source: RNAcentral